This 225-nucleotide ribosomal RNA is filed under the name uncultured bacterium. RNAcentral describes it as "partial 16S ribosomal RNA". It matches the Rfam family "Bacterial small subunit ribosomal RNA", at positions 328 to 539 of the family's 1533-position model. The record is from RNAcentral.
ACGCUCGACACCUACGGGGAGGCAGCAGGUAGGGAAUCUUCCACAAUGGACGCAAGUCUGAUGGAGCAACGCCGCGUGAGUGAAGAAGGUCUUCGGAUCGUAAAACUCUGUUGUUAGAGAAGAACACGAGUGAGAGUAACUGUUCAUUCGAUGACGGUAUCUAACCAGCAAGUCACGGCUAACUACGUGUCAGCAGCCGCGGUAAUCUGAGCGGGCUGGCAAGGC